RNAcentral lists this non-coding RNA (31 nucleotides) under Homo sapiens (human). The record is from RNAcentral. Lineage: Eukaryota; Metazoa; Chordata; Mammalia; Primates; Hominidae.
UGAAGUGGUAUGCCUGCAUGACCUUGGCGGG